CAGUUCACGUAGUUGGCAGGAUCAAAUUUGCUGGCUGGAACUCUGCUCCCCCACCAAGUCUGCUGCAACUGAGAGAUUCUGGAACAGGUGACAAAAGCCAGCAGAAGGAGACCAGGGACACCACUUUCGCUAUACCAUUCUUACCACCUGUGGCAACAAAGAUCUUUUAUUUCCUUAAGACUGUCCUCUGGAAUAAACUUUUUGGAUCUUGCGAGGACGUCAUCCUUGGCACUCUCUUGUGGGACACCCCUUGCAUCCUUGGGACCUAAAACCCAUUCUUUGAAAUGCAUACCUUAGAGAGAAAUUUCUCAUCAGAAGGAACUUCAAAGAAGAGUGAUUCAUGAAAAGGAUUCUGACACUUCUGAUAAACUUUCGACCACACCACUGACGUGGGUAAGAAUUUGCAGAACUCUAACAGAGAAACUGAUGGCUUCAUACAACUGCUAACAAAAGACCAAGAUCAACAAGAAUUAAUCACGUUGGACUAACUAAACUAAUGAAGGCCUAACUCUGGGAACCCAGCAACAUCACCGUUUCCUGAAAUGAGACACAACUGUCUAACUGAACUGACCUAUUCACCGGACUGAGUGACUGGUUCGAUGAGAUGGAUGAAACUAUCAAAUUAGCUUUUGGAUUGUGAAACUUCUUGGGGAAGUUUCAAAGGCAGGACUCUAGGGGGACAGAAUUUGCCACCCCAAAAUAUGUCUCUUUGGUGCAAGGAUUAUUUUAGACUGAUUAUUUUUAAGAAACAGCAGAAAUGGGAGAAGCUCUGAAAACUAAGUAGAAGUUAUCCUUUGUAAAAUUUGUAAGGAAAAUCUCCAUUUGUAAGGGUGUCUCCCUCGCUGUACCAGGAAGAGAGAAAUGACUCAAUCUCUAGAAACACUUAUCAAUGGAG
RNAcentral lists this long non-coding RNA (895 nucleotides) under Equus caballus (horse). RNAcentral's name for it is "lncRNA (ENSECAG00000058164.1)". Lineage: Eukaryota; Metazoa; Chordata; Mammalia; Perissodactyla; Equidae. The record is from RNAcentral.